GACGAACCUUGCAAACGUUAUUCGGAAUCACUGGGCUUAAAGGGUGCGUAGGCUGUGCAGAAAGUUGGGUGUGAAAUACCUCGGCUUAACCGAGGGAUUGCGCCCAAAACUACUGUGCUCGAGGAAGAUAGAGGUGAGCGGAACUUAGGGUGGAGCGGUGAAAUGCGUUGAUAUCCUAAGGAACACCGGUGGCGAAAGCGGCUCACUGGAUCUUAUCUGACGCUGAGGCACGAAAGCCAGGGUAGCAAACGGG
RNAcentral lists this ribosomal RNA (253 nucleotides) under uncultured bacterium. RNAcentral's name for it is "partial 16S ribosomal RNA". It matches the Rfam family "Bacterial small subunit ribosomal RNA", at positions 524 to 776 of the family's 1533-position model. The record is from RNAcentral.